This is a long non-coding RNA of Heterocephalus glaber (naked mole-rat), 2889 nucleotides long. RefSeq lists it as uncharacterized. The record is from RefSeq and is a predicted model, not a curated record. NCBI's taxonomy places the organism in Eukaryota, Metazoa, Chordata, Mammalia, Rodentia, Bathyergidae.
GAAAUGAGGAUAUUAAUGUUCACUAUGCAGAAGUUAUCUGAUAAUGAAAUGAAAUAACAUGUGGUCUGGCAGAUACUUGAACUUCAAUAAAAGACAGUGGUGAUGGUGAUGAUGAUUGACAUGUCACAAGGCAGAGCUGGAACAGCGAGAUGCAAAAAUCUCAAGCCUUCAAAGCCAGCUCCUGGAGAAGAGAGAGGGCCUGGCAGCUGAGCUGAAUGCUUCAGAAGCAGAGGAUCUAUCAACUGCAGACCAAGCAUAGGGAGACGCAGACAAACCUGGAACAGUAACCCAGCCAGCUCCAAUCGCUCCGACAAUGCUUGGUGGCUGGACAGUGGAAAGCGGGAAAUGUGCCACAGCCAUGAGGCAGGAAAUCGACUCUGACCCAAGCCUUGAGGUCUGGUAAGUUUCUUCACUUUUGGAAAGUGAAGUGAAUGGUAACCAAGCCUUCCUUACUCAAAGGAGUAAGAAGUAUUCUGUCUUAUUUUGGUUAAUGAGCUAAAUAUCAAAAUUGGGAAGCUCCGGCAGAUCUGGAAGGAUGGGUUAGCGGGGAGGAAUGGGGUUUGGCAGGAUAGACAAGGGCUAACCAAACUCCAAUUGUAAGGUAAGCCACUGCAGCCAAGCAGAUGUCUUGGGCAUUGAUCCUUGCAUCCUGUUAUUGAUUCACUCUUGGGGCCAAGAAUGGGGUGGACCUAUGGAGGACAAGAGGGGAAAUGACACCAUCCCAAAGGGCCACAAAGCCCUAAUCAGUGAUAAAGUGUUAAGUGGUCAGCCUGGAGAUGAGGUUUGCUCAGAUCUAUUGAUCUGUGCACCCCUGGGAUAUAAAUCCUACUGAAUUUGCUUCCGUGGAUAUAAAUAUUUAUAAUUAAAAUAGCCGAGGGGCCUCUUACAGGCACAAGAAAUGUGACCCAUCCCAAGAUUAAGUUUGAUAUCAAUCUCUUCUAUCUCCCUACUUUGUACACUCUUCUCACUCUCUUCCAUCUGUUUAUAAAUCUCUGUUCUGUGUUUGGAACCCUAUUUUGCUCACUCUCUGAGUGACCGACAGGCACAAUGUCUCAGACUAUCAGAAGCUGGAAAAAAUCCAUUCUUGUGAAUGCAGCUUCCAGCUGAGGAGGGAAUGCUGCUCUCCCCAGUUAACGUCAUACCAUUUCAGGUGCAUUCAGGAGCCAGACUCAGAAAGAAAUGGGCUAUUUGGGGAGCAGGAGGAAGACUUUUUUGUUAUUGUUUUGCUUUUGCUUUUAGAGGAGCACCACUUUGAAUCCCAUAAAAAAUAGGCUGUGUAGCACAAAUGUGUAGCCAAUGCUGAGACCCUGUGCUGGAUCACUCUGCAAUAUUAAAUCUAGGAGAUCAACUUGAAGAGCCCCAUUCUUCUAUUUCUGAGCACCUCAUAAAUCUAAAUUCACAUGAAGUGAACAGAGUAUCAAUUAUCCAAGAGAAUGGAAAAAGAAAGGAUGCUAUUGAGGAACUAGUGGGGGACAGAUCCCUCGAAGCCAGCUGGCAAGAUGGAUACCAUUGAUCAAAGCUUUGUCCACUGAAAAGACACUCUUAUACAGGAUUAGGACCAUUCAGCUUUAAUUUUUUGAAAUUUGGGUGAUAGGGAGAAGUCUUUGAAAUCUGUCAUUGUGUUGCCUAAACCCAUCAUUUGCUUUGGUCCUAGGAUACAAAUAUAUUUACCCUGAAUCUAUCAUCUACUUUGGUGUUUGGAAUACAAUCUUUUCAGUUUGGGAACUUCUAUUUUUAUGAAGUGUCUGUCUUGCCUCAAUGCUUAUAUCAUGAAUGGAGUGUCUGUUCUCCGCAGUUUUCAUUAAAUUAUAUUUUUUGCCUACAAAAUUAAUUAAAUACUUUUGAAUUCUGUCCUCAAGGGUGUGUGUCAGUGGCUGUGAAUACAAUGUAUAGAAUAUGGAGAGAAUUCAUUUGUUGGGUUUUUCUUCUCCUGAUUUUACAAUAUUUAGUCACUCUGGUCUAUGUCAAUAAGUUAAUUUAUGUUUGCCUGUGUAUCUUUGUGCAGGUGUCUGAACUUGGGAAUCAAUGAACAUAAGCAAGUUAGUGAUCCAUGUUUCCCUACCAUUUGCAUUAACUGUGUCUUUCCCAGAUCCAUGUUAAGCUUUGGUUUUUUUCUUCUUUUCAUUCAAAGGUGGUAAUUUCGUAACUCAAAGAUAGUUCAUUUGUUUCUUUUAGCACAUAAUUGAAGAUUAGGGACUAUUUCAGUUGUCAGUUAAAGAUCAGUAUUUUGGACUCCAUUUGGCCUACAUAAUUUAUACAGAAUAAAAGUCUAACAGGUAUAAUCACAAUAGCCUUGGUUUAAGAAUGUCACCAAGAAUACUUGAGGUAGAAAAGCACUUCAAACUAAAAAUGGAAGAAUAGUCUCUCUGGUCAGUAACUUGUAUGCUUCUGUGGUAAUGGAGAGAAUUGGAAUGCAGUUCUCUUUGUUUGAUUUAUAUGGCAACACCCAGAAUGUGAAAGGUGUAUUUUACUGUGGAAAUAAACUUUCAACAUUGACCUAGACAAUCAGAAGAGUAAGACUGUUACUUAUAUCAUGCUUUGCUAGGUUAUAAAAUAAAGCAUAACUAAUAAGAAUAGAUUCUUAGGGGGAAAUCCUGAGAUCUGCAUCUUUCUCCUAUUGUUUGCAAUAUUAGUCAACAUUUGCUUGUACGAUCCUUCUGAAGAGUAAGCUUAUUUGGAGAAAAUGAUCUAAAUUUCACAUAUGAAUAUACUCUACUAAUUGAGUAUGUAUAUACAGUACUUGUGGUCUUAGUGCCACUAAAUCUAAAUAGCAUACAUAAACUCAUUGCUGUCUUGUGCUACAGGUCAUAUUUGAAAGCUUGUUGCCAGCUAUAGGGAAAUUAUUUUAUUACGGCAUCAUCUAGUCACUUAAAAUAAUAAGUUUUGGGG